RNAcentral lists this ribosomal RNA (479 nucleotides) under uncultured bacterium. RNAcentral describes it as "partial 16S ribosomal RNA". It matches the Rfam family "Bacterial small subunit ribosomal RNA", at positions 28 to 507 of the family's 1533-position model. The record is from RNAcentral.
GAUGAACGCUGGCGGCGUGCUUAACACAUGCAAGUCGAACGAAGCACUUUAACCUGAUUCUUCGGAUGAAGGUUUUUGUGACUGAGUGGCGGACGGGUGAGUAACGCGUGGGUCACCUGCCUCAUACAGGGGGAUAACAGUUAGAAAUGACUGCUAAUACCGCAUAAGACCACAGAGCCGCAUGGCUCGGUGGGAAAAACUCCGGUGGUAUGAGAUGGACCCGCGUCUGAUUAGGUAGUUGGUGGGGUAACGGCCUACCAAGCCAACGAUCAGUAGCCGACCUGAGAGGGUGACCGGCCACAUUGGGACUGAGACACGGCCCAAACUCCUACGGGAGGCAGCAGUGGGGAAUAUUGCACAAUGGGGGAAACCCUGAUGCAGCGACGCCGCGUGAGCGAAGAAGUAUUUCGGUAUGUAAAGCUCUAUCAGCAGGGAAGAAAAUGACGGUACCUGACUAAGAAGCACCGGCUAAAUACGUG